Molecule: ribosomal RNA, 253 nt
Filed under: uncultured bacterium
Lineage: Bacteria
Description: partial 16S ribosomal RNA
Rfam family: Bacterial small subunit ribosomal RNA
Source: RNAcentral
UACGGGGGGGGCAAGCGUUGUUCGGAAUUACUGGGCGUAAAGGGCUCGUAGGCGGCCAACUAAGUCGGAUGUGAAAUCCCCAGGCUCAACCUGGGAACUGCAUCCGAUACUGGAUGGCUUGAAUUCGGGAGAGGGAUGCAGAAUUCCAGGUGUAGCGGUGGAAUGCGUAGAGAUCGGGAAGAACAUCAGUGGCGAAGGCGGCCUGCUGGGCUGUUGCUGACGCUGAGGCGCGACAGCGUGGGGAGCAAACAGG